AGCGAACGCUAGCGGCGGGCCUCAAACAUGCAAGUCGCACGCGAAAGUGUAGCAAUACACAAGUAGAGUGGCGCACGGGUGAGUAACACGUAACUAACUUCCCCUCUCGCUGGGGAUAACUCCGGGAAACCGGAGCUAAUACCGAAUGAUCUCUUUUGGACUGCGGUCUAGACGAGUAAAGCCUUACGGUGCGAGAGGAUAGGGUUGCGGCCUAUUAACUAGUUGGUGGGGUAAAAGCCUACCAAGGUUACGAUAGGUAGCUGGUCUGAGAGGACGAUCAGCCACACUGGAACUGACACACGGUCCAGACUCCCACGGGAGGCAGCAGUUGGGAAUUUUGGACAAUGGGGGCAACCCUGAUCCAGCCACGCCGCGUGAAUGAUGAAGGCCUUCGGGUCGUAAAGUUCUUUUAGUUGGGAAAAACACAAUGAUGGUACCAACAGAAAAAGCACCGGCUAACUCCGUG
RNAcentral lists this ribosomal RNA (466 nucleotides) under uncultured organism. RNAcentral's name for it is "bacterial SSU rRNA". It matches the Rfam family "Bacterial small subunit ribosomal RNA", at positions 29 to 507 of the family's 1533-position model. The record is from RNAcentral.